CAUGCAUAGGUUUUGUAACGUCAUGGAUUUUUUUAAUUUACUUUUAUCUUGCUCAUGUUAUCCCUUCAAGACAGAAGGGAUAUGCCGUUACAUAGCCUCUUGGUCUAGAUCUAUUUUCCCUAUCUCGGAUUGUGAUAUGUUACUAUAUUUCUCUCUUCUUUGACAAGGAAGGAUAUAUUUUGAACAAUUUCUUCCUUACGAUCCCUGCUGAUGUCACCGUUUCCGAAGCUGAACUACUGGAAUUGCCAGGUUGGCAAGUCGAUGCAUGGCCUUGCUUAUACUUGCGCAAGUGAGUCGAUACGCUCUUCGAGAUAGAUCUACACCGGGCAAAAGUGGAGUUUCAGCUUCCUGGUGGCAAUGUCGUUGAAAAGUUGCAAGUUCGGUUUCAUUGGCUCUUCGAAAAGCGACUAUUAUCCUACGCCAUUUGCAAGGUUCGUACAUGUAUUGUACAUAUGGGCGUUUUGGUAGUUGAUCCUAUGACAUGUUGCUUGUGAAGUCGGGUCGAUCAUCACAUUGAGUGGUGCGACGUGUUCCGGGGGAUCAGUUGAUCCCGCAGGUGUUGGAUAUAUUUUCAGUAGAGUUGCAGGCAUCUAUAACCAAUUGAUGCUUCGAAAUGUUCUGUGAAGAAUAUUUGAUGACAGGUUGCCACAUGCCACUGAAAUAGUCUGGCAAGAAAAAGAAAAUUCUUCUCGUCCUCAACGAUACUAGCUUUCCGUUCUUGUUUUGGCGGCCACUAUACAUCAACCCCGUGCCACUGGCUUAGAUUGCUACGACUUCUUUGGUUGGAAUACCCCUCCCCGGGAAUAUCGAAUGCUAACAACCCAUCAAUUUCUAUUCAUGAAAUCCCUAAAAUACCAACCGUUAUCAACUUGUUUUAGGUAGCACUCCAAUCCCAGUCUUCUUUCUGGGCGAAAUGAUAACUCAUUGCCGUGGAUGGUGCCUUGACUGCGUUUAUUUCAUCACAGUGCCCAUUUUACAUCUCUUUUGCUUCUUUUUGCACUAAUGAGGCGACGGACAGUCUACGCCCCAGCUGCGAUUGACUGUACUGAUGCAUUCUCUGGGUAAAACUAUCCCACAACGGGCAACACCCAUUUGCCUCGUACAAUAGAAUAAAUAGCAUGCUAUACAUUUUACUCUAUCUUGGCCUGCCGCUCUGCUUUUCUCUUCACUUGGGG
This 1175-nucleotide small RNA is filed under the name Histoplasma capsulatum. RNAcentral's name for it is "hypothetical RNA". RNAcentral also lists the same sequence under 1 other name. Lineage: Eukaryota; Fungi; Ascomycota; Eurotiomycetes; Onygenales; Ajellomycetaceae. The record is from RNAcentral.